UGAUUACGUACAUGAAGUGUGUUGCAUAGCUUCUCUAUGGUUUGGAAAAUCAGUCAUCAGCUUGACAGAUGAUGAACAAAAUUCAAAUUUAUUGAUGACAACAUCCUUAAAUCCUAAGAUAAACACUCCUGGUUUGCUGUCUUGAAGCACAGUAAAAGCCUCGUUUUUUAUUGGUUGAAGCACAAAGUUUUUUCCUAGAUUGCAACCAUCACAUGGAUCAAUGAUGUCAAAGAGAAAUCGAAAGAUUCUUUACAAGGUGUAUGCAAUGUUCACAUCAUCCUGCACUAUAAUUCUCCUAAUACAUGUUAUUGAAAGACUGUCAUAAUUUUUCAGCAGUGACCAUCAUGAUAGUCUGCUGUGUUUCCUUCAAGGCCUCAAUGAUGACCAAGAAGCUCUACAAUCUAAGAUAUGUUAAUUGAGCAUUGAACAUUGAUAUCUUCACUGCUCACUCUUGCAAUUUAAAGACAAAUCUAUGCAUCAAAAUUCUAAAGUCAGGCCUGUUCAAAUAAUGAUCAAACCAUGUGCUUUAUCAAACAUGACUUAAGAGAUAAUUCAUCACAAAAUUUGCUGCAUCCCUGGUCUUCAAAGUAACAAUUGGGUACAUAAGGAGGGGAAGGCAGAUUUGCAACGCAUUUGAACUUUUGCUGCUUGUACUUAUCCCGGACAGCUUUGAAGGAUGCUGCUUUUCGUAACAAGUACAGGUCAUGCAAAAUUAAGACACAUUCUUUCAAUUCGGCUGAUUUGUAACCAGAACAUUCACUCAAAGAAGGAGUCCAUGGAUGCACUUCAGGCGAAAUAAGAAAUCUAGAAAGAAAUACAGCAGAUGCGGCCACAACCGAAGGCAAAAAUUUCAAACAAUCAUAAUCCAACAAACUUAACUCAGCAAGAUAGCGGCCCAGAAAUUCAAUCUGUGAAUUUGGAGUCAUUUCGUUAUCAGCAAACCUUCUGAGAAAAGUGUUCACAGUAGGAUUUCCCAUUUCAAACUUUAGUGACUGCAGUAUGUCAGCUUCCAUCUUCACAACCUCUGCCUUGUCAUAUGUGUAAUCAGUGAUGCUGCAAAAAUCAUUCACACAAGGUGGGUCAAUUUCCUCGUAUUUGGAUGCAAUAAGCAUGGAGGAAACACCCAACAACUGAAGUCUGGAUUUAUUCACCGGAUUAACCGAUAAAAACCUAUCAAUGUACGAAACUGAGAGAUGAAGAGUGUCUGGAAGAAGCUUGUACUCCUCACCCACUUCUACUAACCAAUCCACCAAGAUUGCUCUCAUGGUUGGUGUAAACAAUUUCUGAACUUUCUCAAUGUAGUCAACAGUUGGUCUCCUCUUUUUCUGCAUCUCCAUUUCAUGAAGAUACUCAUAGACAUGGGAAAAGAGGGAUUCAUCAGUACGGGGAGAAGAAGAGUGGUGGAUUGUGGAAGAUUGCUUCUUUGUAUUGGGAUUCUUCACACCUUGCAAUUUCUCUUUGGGAGGAUCUUGAACCAAAGAAACCCUAUGCCUUUUGGGGUGUUGUUUUUGGACCAAGACCAUAGCGUUUGCCUUUCUCUUUGAGGCGGCACGAGUCUCCAUCUUUUGUUCCUUCUGUGAUGUGAAUUUGGAAGAGAGGGAAAGAACGCACAGAUGAAAGAAGAUGGGAUUGAAGUCUUGGGUGCAGAAGAAAGAUGGUUGCCAUGUUUAUGUAUAAUGGAUAGAGAAGACAAGGAGGGUCCGAAAAAUAAAACGAAAAUGAAUCAGUGUGUCUGAAAAUUUAGAGAUUUGGCGUUACUGAAAAUUUAGAGAUUUGGCGUUACUGAAAAUUUAGAGAUUUCUUUUUGGUUCCAAAUUCAAAGGUACAGUGUGAUUUAGGGUUUGUCUAGGAAUUGAAGAGAAUUUUCACAUGGCGGGCUUCUUU
This 1884-nucleotide small RNA is filed under the name Vigna angularis var. angularis. RNAcentral describes it as "Non-protein coding transcript". The record is from RNAcentral. Lineage: Eukaryota; Viridiplantae; Streptophyta; Magnoliopsida; Fabales; Fabaceae.